GCAUUGGUGAUUCAGCGGUAGAAUGCUCUCCUGCCACGCGGUAGACCCGGGUUCGAGUCCCGGAAAAUGCA
This is a non-coding RNA of Parelaphostrongylus tenuis, 71 nucleotides long. The record is from the annotation of a GenBank genome assembly. Lineage: Eukaryota; Metazoa; Nematoda; Chromadorea; Rhabditida; Metastrongylidae.